This is a long non-coding RNA of Neodiprion virginianus, 454 nucleotides long. RefSeq lists it as uncharacterized. The transcript has 4 exons. Lineage: Eukaryota; Metazoa; Arthropoda; Insecta; Hymenoptera; Diprionidae. The record is from RefSeq and is a predicted model, not a curated record.
GGUGAAACUCGACUUUGGGGACAAGCGCUUCGUAGUUUCCGCGCUCCAGGUGCGCUACCUGGUGAAACUCCACUUCAGGAAUGAGCGCUCCAUAGUUUCCGCGGUUCAGGACCGCUACCUGGUGAAACUCGACUUCAGGGACAAGCGCUCCGUAGUUUCUACGCUCCAGGUCUGCUACCUGAUGAAACUCGACUCUCGGAGGACAAGGAAGACGAGGAGAACAAGGUGGACGAAGAGAACGAGGAUUUCUGCACGGUCGUUAUCGGUGGGUGUUGGAGGUGGUCUGAGGUGAACAAGAAGGAGGACGAGGAAGACGUGGAGAACAAGGUGGGGGAGGAGUACGAGGAUUUGUGCUCGGUACAACCCAAGGUGGUUAUCGGUGGUCGUCGGUGGUCGUUGGAGGUGGUCGGAGGCGGACGAGGAGGAGGACGAGGAAGACGAGGAGAACAAGGCG